UACGUAGGGACCUAGCGUUGUCCGGAAUCAUUGGGCGUAAAGCGCGCGUAGGCGGCCCGGUAAGUCCGUUGUAAAAGUCGAAGGCUCAACCUUCGAAAGCCGAUGGAUACUGCCGGGCUAGAGUACGGAAGAGGCGAGUAGAAUUCCUGGUGUAGCGGUGGAAUGCGCAGAUAUCAGGAGGAAUACCCAUAGCGAAGGCAGCUCGCUGGGACGUUACUGACGCUGAGGCGCGAAAGCGUGGGGAGCAAACAGG
RNAcentral lists this ribosomal RNA (253 nucleotides) under uncultured bacterium. RNAcentral's name for it is "partial 16S ribosomal RNA". It matches the Rfam family "Bacterial small subunit ribosomal RNA", at positions 524 to 776 of the family's 1533-position model. The record is from RNAcentral.